This 397-nucleotide ribosomal RNA is filed under the name uncultured bacterium. Its description in RNAcentral is "partial 16S ribosomal RNA". It matches the Rfam family "Bacterial small subunit ribosomal RNA", at positions 523 to 918 of the family's 1533-position model. The record is from RNAcentral.
AUACGUAGGGGGCGAGCGUUGCCCGGAAUGAUUGGGCGUAAAGGGCGCGUAGGCGGCCCGGUAAGUCUGGAGUGAAAGUCCUGUUUUUAAGAUGGGAAUUGCUUUGGAUACUGUCGGGCUUGAGUGCAGGAGAGGUAAGUGGAAUUCCCAGUGUAGCGGUGAAAUGCGUAGAGAUUGGGAGGAACACCAGUGGCGAAGGCGACUUACUGGACUGUAACUGACGCUGAGGCGCGAAAGUGUGGGGAGCAAACAGGAUUAGAUACCCUGGUAGUCCACACUGUAAACGGUGAAUGCUAGGUGUAGGGGGUAUCGACCCCUUCUGUGCCGCAGUCAACACAAUAAGCAUUCCGCCUGGGGAGUACGGCCGCAAGGUUGAAACUUAAAGGAAUUGACGGGG